CACCGGAAGUGCCCAGCCCCGCAAGACUGGGUGAUACACAGAAUUCAACGGGCGCCCGGACCAUGCGGCUGUGAUCACCGGCGCUCCGGGUCUGCCUACAGAGACAUCUUCUGGAACCGUGGGUCUGGCUGGCGGGAGUUCCCGGACUUUAGCCUACCCCAGAAAAAUCAGUAAAAACUGCAGCGCUCGGCCUGGAAGCAGCAGCCUGGCCACUGUCCUGACAGAUUGCCGAAUGCCUUGGAGCAGGGCCUGGGUUCGGCUGAUGCCCCACCCAUCCGUCCAUGAAGCUCCCGCACAGCCGGAUGGCGUGAGAUUGCAGUAUCUGCCCUAGGCCCCUGUCUACCAUCUCUGGCUCAAAAGAUCCCUGGGCCAGAAUCUACUAGACACAAUAGGCCACUUCAUCUCUGUUGCUUCAAUACCCAAACCUAAAUCCACUAAUCGUAAUUCCCCAAUUUAUAGUUUUCUUACCAGGCAUCUUAUUUCAGCUUUCGAAGUGAUACUCAGGUAGUGUGGAGGACUAACGGUCAGCUUCCUGGAAGGCCCAGCUGAACCGAGCCAGCACGGUUCUGGGUGCGGAAGACCCGCCUGAGGACUGCUGCCAACCGCAUAAAAGGAGAACCGGAGGUGAAGAUCGAAUGCUGUUGAUGCUCCUGGGAGGCUUUGCCGCGGCUGGUUUUCCUGGUGCGAACUCCGCUGUUCUCAUUGUCAGAGGAGGAGCUCGAGUCCCCCCUGUCGCCGGGGAUGGCUGCUGUUCUUGUCGGGGGAGCUCUGCUCUUCGCCUUGAGCCCCCUCAGGCUGGUGCCACAGGAUUUCUGGCUUCCACCAGUGGCCUUCGGGCCUUCCCGGUGCAGAUGCUCAAUGUGGACUUGCAUGGGACCCUGCCGUGGGCUCUGGGCCUCUGGCCGGACUCGUGGGGGACACUGCCUUGGGCAAGACAUUGUAGUCAUCAGAGCCGGGGAUUUAGCUCAGUGGUUCCAGUGCCUGCCUUGCAAGCACAAGGUCCUGAGUUUGAUCCCUGGUACCAAAAAAAAAAAAAGACAUUGUAGUCAUCAAUACAGUGUGUGAAUCCUCCCCUAUCAGCAUGUACAGAGCUGCUUCAGUCUUUCUCAAGGCCGCAUGGAAAAUUCCGUGUAAGGAUGUCAAGGAAUCAAUGCGCCUCUCUGGGAUCAGGAAGGAAGAAUUAGCCAACACCAGGGAUCUGUGCCAAGCAGCCUGUUCUGAUGGCUGCUCUGAUUCUGCUUUGAGAGAAUGUCACCCACUUUGUCUUUGGCAGUCAGGAGUCAGUACUCGACCCAUCACCUGGGAUCCAAUCAGUCUCGUUUCCUAACCAAACUCCCAACUAAUGUAAAUAAUCGGACUUAGGAACCAGAGGACUGACUCCAGAAGAUGAGAUACCCGGUCACUGAGGCGCAGCCGGAAAUCGUGGAGGAGGGAAGUGUGCUCCGGACUGGUCUCCCUCUUGUCCUCUUUCCCUUCCCGCCCUCGCCUCCUUGGCAUUCUGGCAGGCUUGGGGCCCUGA
This 1519-nucleotide long non-coding RNA is filed under the name Heterocephalus glaber (naked mole-rat). RNAcentral describes it as "lncRNA (ENSHGLG00000047964.1)". The record is from RNAcentral. Lineage: Eukaryota; Metazoa; Chordata; Mammalia; Rodentia; Bathyergidae.